AAAUAAUGCAACACUAUGCAUGCGGCGUCUAAAAUAGUGUUUAGAAAAAGAAAAGUCAUAAACCCUAGAUAUGAAAGCGGGAAACAUCACCACCUUGCAACGUCUUGCUCCGCUUGUGCUCCGGUGAGAGUUUAUAGUUUUAUUCUAAAAUUGCUAUAUCUUGUUCCCAAUGUAAAAAACUGCCUCUUACCAUGGAUUUGAUACCUUUGAUUUUGCUAAAAUUUUCAAUUAGGUCAAUUUUUAUGAAAGUAAUAAUAUUUAGAAAACAAAUAAAUGUUCUGAGUAUUAAUUUGAUUGACUCACAUUGUUGUAGUUGAGCAUUGUUUUAUGCAACAAGUGAUGCACCUUCUUAAAAGGUUACCUAUUUACUCUGAUGAUUGUAAUCCAUAAUGCUCAAAAUUUGUUACUCAUAUGGACCUGGUUUGGUAAUUUUGUUGAUUCUAACUGCCUUUUGAGCUUCUUUGUUUUGUAUUAAUCAUAAUCAUAUAUCUAAUUAUCGAUAUCUUUAUGUGGCCACGUGUUUAGAUUCAGAGUCAUUUCAAAUCGUUGAGAGACCCUGUGUAAGAAGCUGAAGUUAACUUCAGUUGAGUCUUGAAUAUUUUUAAAGGUUCCUAUUUAACGUGGAAUAUGUUAAUGGAGACUCUUUUUACCAUAGUUUAAUCAUGAAAAAGUGUUGGGCCCUUUGUUGCAGGUCGUGGCACUUUCUCAAAGACAGCCCGGUUCAUAAUGUGAUAAUGAUGGUGAUCAUGAAGUAGUACCAUGUUUACAUAAAUAUCCAAGAAUAACCCUUUUCACUGAUCGUUCAAGAAUGGCAGAGAAGUUUGUUGUUGAUCUGAUAGAAAGUGCUCGAUAAAUUAGACAAAGCUGGAUUUGAAUGCAAAACAUUGGGCCUUAUAUCCAUCAGGUUUCUUACAAUAUUUUGUAGAUUGCGUAAUAUCAUUGACUUAUAUCGUAAACUUCAUUAAUGGUUGAUGCUCCCAAUAACUGUGGUGAAGUUGUAACUUGCGUUAAAUUACUGUGUCCUGAUUAACUCUGGGGUUUUAAUUUUUCCUGUUCAGAACAUUUCUUACAGAAGAAAGCUAGCAGUUUUAUGAUGAUUGAACUCGAUCUUACUUAAAGUAUGUCUGUUCAGUCCCCGUAAUGUAUAUUGAUCUAGGAUUUAACAUUUAAAUUUGUUAUGGUGGCCCUCCUGAGCUUUAUAAUUUUUCUCUUUAACGCAGUGAAAAUCAAUAUUAUAUGAGUGAAUAAAUUAUAUUGUAACUGUUAUAACCCAGAUGAAAUAGUUUGAAACUUUGAAUGAUCUUAUCUUUUAUGGCACAAUAGGGAUAAGCAGUAUUGUCAACACACUCUACAGGGUCGCUACAGCAGUGUAGCGGCAGCCCCUGGCCACUUUCAGAAGUGGAGCACUUGGUGUCGUAGCCGCAGAAGCUGCUUUAGCGGUCAAAACAGCGGCUUGUUGCGACCUCAAUAGUGCCACACCUGGUGUACUGCACUGCAGUGUUACCAAGAUCCACCAUGACUGUUAUACAUGGCGGUUUUUGGGCUCGCCGCAAUGGUAAAUGUUGGUCGAUAUUGCAGGUUUUUCCGCUAUAACGGCGGCCCAAAGUGGCCAAUAUUGCGGGAUUUUGACUCUCCACCACGGAGUGCUAUCCGUCAUUGACAACAACACUGCUGCACGGUAAGGUGAAGCAGAAUACCAUAGGGAAGACUCGAAUGGACCGUGUUUAGUCUCACAACAAAUGGAAGCUUGCUUGAACGAAACAUUCAAGAACAAAAUCCCUAUAAUUAAAAGGACAAUUUAAAUCAACCUUUUGCGCUAAACCUUGUGUAUUUCUAGGUUAUUACUACUACAAAAGCAGUCAAUUGUCAUUUUGCUGGAUGCUUUGCAAAGAAUGCAGUCACACUUAGCUGCAGUUUCAAAUGGUGCCUUUUUUACAGGU
This is a long non-coding RNA of Vicia villosa (hairy vetch), 1940 nucleotides long. RefSeq lists it as uncharacterized. Lineage: Eukaryota; Viridiplantae; Streptophyta; Magnoliopsida; Fabales; Fabaceae. The transcript is spliced from 3 exons. The record is from RefSeq and is a predicted model, not a curated record.